RNAcentral lists this long non-coding RNA (2073 nucleotides) under Anas zonorhyncha (Eastern spot-billed duck). RNAcentral's name for it is "lncRNA (ENSAZOG00000006964.1)". The record is from RNAcentral. Lineage: Eukaryota; Metazoa; Chordata; Aves; Anseriformes; Anatidae.
AUGACAAGAACUGGCACCCACCACGGGGGACAGCAAGGCACCCGUCUCCCUGCUGCUGGUGGACGAUUCCUGCUCGGUGUUGCAGAAGGUGCUGGAAAAGCCCCGUUGUUCUUGCCGAGGGGCAAACACCCUGCUCUAGGACAUCUGCCUCUAGGCAGAAGAGAAGUUGCGCUUGCCCUGGGCUUGGAAGGGGCUCUGCUCCGUGUCCGGAGAGGACAAAUCCCGACUCUUCUCAUGUUAGAACCUGCUUCAGGCCAAGAACAUUGUUUGAGAUUCACGUGGUUGCUUAUGCUGUUGUGCAAACAGCAUGUAAAUGAAUCAAAAUGUCUUAUCCAUAAUGAAAAUAUUUCAUGCUUUUUUAAUCUAUUAGAUAUGGAAAUAUUUUUUGAAACUGAAAAUGCAGCCGGUAGAAUUUAAAUUGAAACGUAAUACAUGUAAAAUAUAUUUUAGUUGAUAAUUUUGUAAAAUGCACUUUUUUUGUGUCUCUUCCCUGGUUUCCCAGAUCUGUAUUUCAGUGUUUACAGAUGGAAUGAGAACAUUCCCUAUACCCUCCUUCUGUGAGAAAGAUAUAUUAGAAGUAAUUCUUAAAAAAUAAAUUUGAAAAAUCGUAUUGAUUUAGAAAACAAAAUCAGUGCAAUGCUGUUCUUCUCCUUCUUGCCUGAGCUUUUCAGGAUGGGUACCUGCGGGGUGCAGGACUUGAAGAGCCUGGAGGGUGCUGAUGGGAGAGCGAGUUUUGGCGCUUGGGUCCUUGGGGCUGUCCCUGGAGGAAGGUGUCCCCAUCCUGGCUGGGACGCAGCCCCAAAAUGAAUGGCUGGUGAGGCUCCUUGUGAAAACUGAGUGAGAGCAUGGAGGAUCGGCCAGGGGGGUGAUUUUUUAUUUUAUUUCUAGUCUGCUCUCAACAGCUGCUGUCAUCGGAAUAGUUAAGUCUGCCUUUCAGAAGGGGAAGAUGUUAGUGGCAAAGGCUGUCUCCACAGGCUUGGGAUGUCAGCCCAUGCUUUAGAAGCGCUUUAGGAGCAUUUUGAGAGGUUGGUUUGAGAAAAGCAUUCCCCACAGAGCGUCACCUCUCCAAGCCAACAGUCCACUUGGCAGCAUUUCUGCCAGCCCAGCAGCGUCCCUGCCCCAGGGCACCAAACGCAUGCUGAGGACAGGUCUGACAAACUGUAUCGCCUCUGUGGACAUCCCCAAAAGGCACGAGGGGGAUCCCAAGCAGGUGUAAGUGCUGAGAGGAAUGAGGUGACCCACCUGAUGUCACACAGUGGGGUCAGCACUUCUGUGAGGAGUGGGAUCUGGCGGAAACCCUCCGUGCAUCCAAACGCAGGUGAGUGCAGGCUGAAGGUGCUGAGCUUGGGUGUUUGCAGCAAGCAGCAGGUCCUGGGAGUAAGGCCAAAACGAUUCUGCCUGGACAGCGAUGGGAAACAGUGCUGCAAGCAAAAUGCUGGCAAAAAGCUGCUGCCAAAGCUGCUCGCCCCAAAACUGUGGCGUUUGGUGUCAGGUUUUGGUGCCCUCUGCAUCCACAGAGCUCCAGGCGCAGAGCAGUGGGGAGGAGCCGUGGUUUAGCUCUUGGCUGGGUGGCUGGCCCUUAGAAUGGGUUAUUUCUAUAAAUAAUACUGUGUUUUAAUUAGAGCUGGACCCUUGCGUGCCUGGGAAGGGGGAGAAUGAGUUCUGGGAACAAAAUGAGCAGGAUGAAAAAGUGACGGCUGGUACCAAUGCUGGAUUAGCUCCUAAUUAUAGAGAGGGGAGUGAGCGGCGAGCGUGGUUUGUGGCAUGAAUGCAGAUGGGCUGGGCAUGGGAACAGCAGCCUUAAAACACAGGGCAGCAGCACAACGGGGUUUUGCACUUGUCUCUUGCCCCAAGGUUGCCUCAAAAGGGAGAUUUUGAGAUUGCCCUGUUGGUGGGAGCAGUGUAUGGAUGUGCGUGGGUGGGGCCACUGCUCCCACCACCUUAAGUAGCCACCUUGCCACCCUGCCAGCCUCAUUAGCCCAUUUUCAUUAAGUUCCUGGUCUGACAUCUUCAUGGGAUUAGGGCUUGGUUUUGUUUUUUGCCAGAGGACCUUUGCUUUUUUUGAUUUCCCUG